GUGAUCGUGGUUCGACACGAUGCACGCGUUGUUCGGCGAACAGAGUCCGUACGCGUACCGCGGAGGUGCCGCCGGAGGCUACUCGGCUAGUGUCACCCCCUAUGCCUACGAACAAUACCGAUACGGAUACGGUGCUCCUUACCUCCAUCCGCACCAGCAGCAUGUCGGUGCACCUAAGGACAUGGUCAAACCGCCUUAUUCCUACAUAGCACUUAUUGCGAUGGCAAUACAAAACGCGCCGGAUCGUCGUAUUACUCUCAAUGGUAUUUAUCAGUUUAUAAUGGAGCGCUUUCCAUAUUACCGUGAAAACAAACAAGGAUGGCAGAAUUCUAUAAGACAUAAUUUAAGUUUAAACGAGUGCUUCGUGAAAGUGGCUCGAGAUGACAAGAAGCCUGGUAAAGGUAGUUACUGGACGUUAGAUCCAGACUCCUACAACAUGUUCGACAACGGAUCAUAUUUGAGAAGACGGCGUCGUUUUAAAAAGAAAGAUGCCUUAAAAGAGAAAGAGGAAGCCCUGAAGCGGCAGCAACAGCUGCAGCAGGCGCAAGAGGCGCUGGCCGCGCAGGAGGCACUAAGCGUCUCCGAUGUGACGGGGCAGGCGCGUGACGUUAAGCCCGAUGUCAAACCGCGCCUAUUCGAAUGCCGGCCCAAGCGCGAACCUGGCGCGGAUUGUGCGCGUUACGAUAAGCCGUCGGACUCCCUGGAUGACUACAGCGAGCCCCGGUUACCGCCCUCCGCCGUGUACUGCUCGCCGCAGCCGUACGCGCUGGCGGCAGAGGAGUUCCGAGCGGCCGCGACGGGCUGGUACGCGGCGCCCGAACCGCCUGCUGAGCAGUUGCCUCCGGCGUUCCGCGACCUCUUCGAGCCUCCGAGUUGCCAGCUGGCUGGCUUCCGGGGGUCGCCUCCUCCCGACGCUUACCGCACAUCGCCACCGCCUCAUCACCACUACCGCCCGCCGGCGCCCUCCUAUUACCAUCACCAAGCGUGCGUGGCAGCCGCACCCGCACCCGCUCACAAGUCUUACUGAGACAUCGCAACCAGGAGGCCGGCAUCACACGGCGCCGAACGAAUUUAGCUGCGCGUCAGUUCCAGAACGGAUAAAUAUAGCGCAGUAGCCGGAGAUGCCGCGGAGGCAAGUGGCGGCGCGUCGAUAACCACUGUUUACACGUCGGCGGCCGGCCCUGCCGCCUCCCGCUCCGUCCACACCUAUAGGUUUGACGGAUUAAGAAGACGGGAGGCAAGCAGCAGGGAGAAACGAUACAAUAGUGAAAGAUUUAGUGUGAUGAACUGAAAUGUGCUAUCUUUCAGUGGACCUCGUAAAAUGACCAGUGAGACACAUAGUUCCGUUUGAGCGAACUACAUAAUAUAUAAAAUUAGCAUUAUUGUGAAAUCUCUAGUUCUCAAGAGAGCGUUCAUAAUGCAAGGAGUUAGUACGUAGAUAUGUAUAUUCGUUCACCAGUGACUUAUGUAAGGUAGAAAAGGCGACAAAUGAAUUUAAUUGUAUUGUGACAAUCAGUUUUCUUGAGUGGUAGUUUGAUUUGCGUAUCAGUGUAAAUACGUACAUAGGUACACAAUCCACAUGUAUUCGACACCUCUCUUAGCAAGCUUCUAGUACUUGUUCUAGUCUUUUGACUCGUCUUUUCUGUGUGUUAUUUGAAUCAUUGAUUAUAAUAUGUAUGUACUAUUCACUUUUAGACAUAACUAUUGAAACAUCUUUGACAUGCACACUCAUUAGCCUAUAGGUUAGGUAUAACAUUUUUUGGCUUUAAUAUUUGAAAUAUUAUUUUAUUUAUAUUUUGGAGUAUGAAAAUACUUAAAUUCGUACCUACGUAAUUGUACCUACAUGUCAUGAAUGACAACCAAAACCAGCCUUAGUGUACUUUUUGUAGCGAGACAUUUAUUAACGGGUAAAUUUUCUAUCCCCGAAAAGGGAAAUAAAUGGUGAUGGAUUAGGACGGAAACCAAGUGACAAUUUCCACUGGUUCUUUUUUACGUCUCAUCUUUUCUCUUUUCUGGCUAGUGGGAAAACACAGUGACGCUGCCUAAGGAAACUUUAGGCUACUCUCACUGACAACUGACUCUACUUUGAGUAAUGUUUUCAAUUUAACUUCCCGUUUCCCGUUUGUAGUAAAAAUUAACCGCGAGAGUAGGUGUGCCAUAACCAUAAUGUACUAUAAAAAAAAUCAAGUGGGUAGAAUUAAUUGUAUGUAAUAUACUACUAGUAGGAAAUUAUUAUGAUUGCUAUAGAUUGUACAUUAAAUCCAACUGUGUAGUACAACACUUUAUUUAGUGGAAAGUGGCAUAACUAAGUAGGCAGUUCCCAUGGAAUAGAUAACUUUAAGGGAUACCGUAUAGUUACGAAUUUAAAUAUAAAUAUAUUUAAUUUAGUGACAUAGUUUAAGUAGUUGAUUAGAUCUAAGUCACCAAUAAAAGCCUGAAUCAAGAAAUUGUUAGUGAUCCUCUCUUCAUCGAUGAUUAUCUAAAUACUCAAAAUCCAUUACGUAUUACAUAUAGGUACACUUAAAAUACUUUUCUAAACAUUUAAAAGAUAAUUUGAUAAUUGUAGGUAAGUAUACAAAUGGCAAUAGUUCAUAGUGUUUGGUAGAGAAUACCUACCUAUAACAAAUUCUUCAAUUUAUUUCAGUGUUUCAGUGUUUUACACAUCAUUAUGUUAUAAAAACCUUGAAUUAGUAAAUUUUGGCAGUGUUUAUUUUCUUAUACAUAUAUAUAUAUAUUUAAUUUAAAUGAAUUGAGGCAUUACUUAUUUUGUUGUUAAAGUUACUGUUAGUGGUCUAUAAAUAACCAUUGAUUCAAUAGAGAGAACAUUGUAAAUUGUUAUUUGAUGAAAAAAAAAGCACAAUAAGAUAACAAUAGUCUUGAGGUACUUUUCCAUAAAAUAACACAUUUUUAUAGGACGCAAUUGGCCAGUCAUUUUUUUUAUUAUCUUUCGUCACCUAGUAGAAUGGGAUAGGCAAAUGUCAAAGGUUUUUAUAGGUGGCGCCAGCAUAGGUUUUGACUGUUUCUAGUUUAGUUCUAUGGGAUUUAGCUUAAAGAGACUUCCAAGAAAUGAAAUUAAAAAAAAUAAGAGUUUGACACUAGGUACUUAUUCGUAGGAUUGACAGGUAAAGCAUAUGCUGGCGCCAUCUGUAAAAUGAUUUGACCGGACCCGGCCCGUUAAGAACUAUGAGUACAGCACUGCUCUUCAACAAGAUUCGACAACUAUUUUACCGAGUUAUUUAUUUACACGCUAUGUCCAUACCUAUUUAGUUUUCUUAAAUCACUGAAAUUUUCACAGGUAUCUAUUUAAUAAGAAAUUAUUCAUCAAUUUCAUCAUCCACUAGAAAUUUUAUUGGACUACCUACUUAAGUUGGCUUUUGAAUUUGUGAUAAUUAUCGUAAAUGUGUGUACAUAAAUGUAUUUAAACAAUAAAUGUUUAUUUGUAUUUAAAACGA
Cydia pomonella (codling moth) is the source of this 3452-nucleotide RNA transcript. It is a transcript of the gene named fork head domain-containing protein crocodile-like, with no coding region annotated. The record is from RefSeq and is a predicted model, not a curated record. The transcript is spliced from 3 exons. NCBI's taxonomy places the organism in Eukaryota, Metazoa, Arthropoda, Insecta, Lepidoptera, Tortricidae.